Triticum aestivum (bread wheat) is the source of this 137-nucleotide non-coding RNA. The record is from Rfam. Lineage: Eukaryota; Viridiplantae; Streptophyta; Magnoliopsida; Poales; Poaceae.
UACGUACUACCUCCGUCCGAAAAUACUUGUCAUCAAAAUAGACAAAAAAGAUGUACUAUCUAUAAUUAAAAUAUGUCUAGAUAUAUCUUUUUUUAUUCAUCUUGAUGACAAGUAUUUCCGGACGAAGAGAGUACUAG